AACAGGAUUAGAUACCCUGGUAGUCCACGCCGUAAACGAUGCAUGCUAGACGUUGGGAACCUCAGGUUCUCAGUGUCGCAGCUAACGCAAUAAGCAUGCCGCCUGGGGAGUACGGCCGCAAGGUUGAAACUCAAAUGAAUUGACGGGGGCCCGCACAAGCGGUGGAGUAUGUGGUUUAAUUCGACGCAACGCGGAGAACCUUACCAGUCCUUGACAUGUCUAGUAUGGGUCUAAGAGAUUAGACCCUUCAGUUCGGCUGGCUAGAACACAGGUGCUGCAUGGCUGUCGUCAACUCGUGUCGUGAGAUGUUGGGUUAAGUCCCGCAACGAGCGCAACCCUCAUCUUUAGUUGCCCCCGGGUCAGGCCGGGCACUCUAAAGAAACCGCCGGUGACAAGCCGGAGGAAGGCGGGGAUGACGUCAAGUCCUCAUGGCCCUUACGGACUGGGCUACACACGUACUACAAUGGUGGUGACAGUGGGCUGCGAAGUCGCAAGACGGAGCCAAUCCCCAAAAGCCAUCUCAGUUCGGAUUGCACUCUGCAACUCGAGUGCAUGAAGUUGGAAUCGCUAGUAAUCGCAGAUCAGCACGCUGCGGUGAAUACGUUCCCGGGCCUUGUACACACCGCCCGUCACGCCAUGGAAGUUGGUUUUACCUGAAGUUGAUGAGCUAACCCGCAAGGGGAGCAGUCAACCACGGUAAGGUUAAUGACUGGGGCGAAGUCGUAACAAAGGUAACCGUAA
Molecule: ribosomal RNA, 741 nt
Filed under: uncultured endophytic bacterium
Lineage: Bacteria
Description: bacterial SSU rRNA
Rfam family: Bacterial small subunit ribosomal RNA
Source: RNAcentral